Molecule: ribosomal RNA, 497 nt
Filed under: uncultured bacterium
Lineage: Bacteria
Description: partial 16S ribosomal RNA
Rfam family: Bacterial small subunit ribosomal RNA
Source: RNAcentral
GACGAACGCUGGCGGCGUGCCUAAUACAUGCAAGUUGAGCGAUGAAGAUUGGUGCUUGCACCAAUUUGAAGAGCAGCGAACGGGUGAGUAACGCGUGGGGAAUCUGCCUUUGAGCGGGGGACAACAUUUGGAAACGAAUGCUAAUACCGCAUAAUAACUUUAAACAUAAGUUUUAAGUUUGAAAGAUGCAAUUGCAUCACUCAAAGAUGAUCCCGCGUUGUAUUAGCUAGUUGGUGAGGUAAAGGCUCACCAAGGCGAUGAUACAUAGCCGACCUGAGAGGGUGAUCGGCCACAUUGGGACUGAGACACGGCCCAAACUCCUACGGGAGGCAGCAGUAGGGAAUCUUCGGCAAGGGACGAAAGUCUGACCGAGCAACGCCGCGUGAGUGAAGAAGGGUUUCGGAUCGUAAAACUCUGUUGGUAGAGAAGAACGUUGGUGAGAGUGGAAAGCUCAUAAAGUGACGGUAACUACCCAGAAAGGGACGGCUAACUACGUG